RNAcentral lists this ribosomal RNA (450 nucleotides) under uncultured bacterium. RNAcentral's name for it is "SSU rRNA". It matches the Rfam family "Bacterial small subunit ribosomal RNA", at positions 26 to 518 of the family's 1533-position model. The record is from RNAcentral.
AGGACGAACGCUGGCGGUGUGCUUCACACAUGCAAGUCGAACGGGGUAGCAAUACCCAGUGGCGGACGGGUGAGUAACGCGUGGGAAUCUGCCUUUAGAUGGGGGAUAACUGACCGAAAGGUUAGCUAAUACCGCAUAUGCCGCAAGGUAAAAGGAGCAAUCCGUCUGAAGAUGAGCCCGCGUCCGAUUAGCUAGUUGGUAGGGUAAAAGCCUACCAAGGCUACGAUCGGUAGCUGGUCUGAGAGGAUGAUCAGCCACAAUGGGACUGAGACACGGCCCAUACUCCUACGGGAGGCAGCAGUGGGAAUUUUGUGCAAUGGGGGAAACCCUGACACAGCGACACCGCGUGAGCGAAGAAGCCCCUUGGGGUGUAAAGCUCUGUCGACAGGGAACGAAAAAAAUGACGGUACCUGUAGAGGAAGCAUCGGCUAACUACGUGCCAGCAGCCGC